RNAcentral lists this ribosomal RNA (458 nucleotides) under uncultured microorganism. RNAcentral's name for it is "bacterial SSU rRNA". It matches the Rfam family "Bacterial small subunit ribosomal RNA", at positions 346 to 795 of the family's 1533-position model. The record is from RNAcentral.
GGGCAGCAGUGGGGAAUAUUGCGCAAUGGGCGAAAGCCUGACGCAGCGACGCCGUGUGCGGGAAGAAGGCCUUCGGGUCGUAAACCGCUGUCAGGAGGGAAGAACACCCUAGGGGCGAAUAGGCCUUAGGACUGACGGUACCUCCAGAGGAAGCACCGGCUAACUCCGUGCCAGCAGCCGCGGUAAUACGGAGGGUGCAAGCGUUAAUCGGAAUCACUGGGCGUAAAGCGCACGUAGGCUGUAUUGUAAGUCAGAUGUGAAAGCCCUCGGCUCAACCGGGGAAUUGCAUUUGAUACUGCUUUACUUGAGUACUGGAGAGGGUGGCGGAAUUCCCGGUGUAGGAGUGAAAUCCGUAGAUAUCGGGAGGAACACCAGUGGCGAAGGCGGCCACCUGGACAGUAACUGACGCUGAGGUGCGAAAGCGUGGGUAGCAAACAGGAUUAGAUACCCUUGUAGUC